GCAAUCGUAGUGUAGCGGUUAUCAUCCCAGCCUUCCAUCAUUGCGACAGCUGGGGACUCGGGUUCGACUCCCGGCGAUUGCA
Molecule: transfer RNA, 82 nt
Filed under: Colletotrichum graminicola M1.001
Lineage: Eukaryota; Fungi; Ascomycota; Sordariomycetes; Glomerellales; Glomerellaceae
Description: tRNA-Gly for anticodon UCC
Rfam family: tRNA
About the family: Transfer RNA (tRNA) molecules are approximately 80 nucleotides in length.
Source: Rfam by way of RNAcentral